ACGAACGCUGGCGGCAGGCUUAACACAUGCAAGUCGAACGGGCACUUCGGUGUCAGUGGCAGACGGGUGAGUAACACGUGGGAACGUACCCUUUGGUUCGGGAUAACGCAGGGAAACUUGUGCUAAUACCGGAUACGCCCUUUGGGGGAAAGGUUUACUGCCGAAGGAUCGGCCCGCGUCCGAUUAGCUAGUUGGUGUUGGUAAUGGCUCACCAAGGCGACGAUCGGUAGCUGGUCUGAGAGGAUGACCAGCCACAUUGGGACUGAGACACGGCCCAAACUCCUACGGGAGGCAGCAGUGGGGAAUAUUGGACAAUGGGCGCAAGCCUGAUCCAGCCAUGCCGCGUGAGUGAUGACGGCCUUAGGGUUGUAAAGCUCUUUCGCGCACGACGAUAAUGACGGUAGUGCGAGAAGAAGCCCCGGCUAACUUCGUGCCAGCAGCCGCGGUAAUACGAAGGGGGCUAGCGUUGUUCGGAUUAACUGGGCGUAAAGGGUGCGUAGGCGGGUUUUUAAGUCAGGGGUGAAAUCCCAAGGCUCAACCUUGGAACUGCCUUUGAUACUGGAAAUCUUGAGUCCGGGAGAGGUGAGUGGAACUGCGAGUGUAGAGGUGAAAUUCGUAGAUAUUCG
This 626-nucleotide ribosomal RNA is filed under the name uncultured bacterium. RNAcentral's name for it is "bacterial SSU rRNA". It matches the Rfam family "Bacterial small subunit ribosomal RNA", at positions 29 to 700 of the family's 1533-position model. The record is from RNAcentral.